GCCGGUGUAGCUCAGUGGUAGAGCAGCUGAUUCGUAAUCAGCAGGCCGCGGGUUCAAAUCCCGCUACCGGCUCCA
Molecule: transfer RNA, 75 nt
Filed under: Selenomonadales bacterium
Lineage: Bacteria; Bacillati; Bacillota; Negativicutes; Selenomonadales
Description: tRNA-Thr
Rfam family: tRNA
About the family: Transfer RNA (tRNA) molecules are approximately 80 nucleotides in length.
Source: RNAcentral